AAAAAAGGUAAGCUACUAAGAGCGAAUGGUGGAUGCCUUGACUGGUAAAGGCGAUGAAGGACGUACUAGACUGCGAUAAGCUACGGGGAGCUGUCAAGAAGCUUUGAUCCGUAGAUUUCCGAAUGGGGCAACCCAAUGUAUAGAGAUAUACAUUACCUAUAUAGGAGCGAACGAGGGGAAUUGAAACAUCUUAGUACCCUCAGGAAAAGAAAUCAAUAGAGAUUGCGUCAGUAGCGGCGAGCGAAAGCGCAAGAGGGCAAACCCAGUGCUUGCACUGGGGGUUGUAGGACUGCAAUGUGCAAGAGGUAAGUUUAGCAGAACAUUCUGGAAAGUAUAACCAUAGAGGGUGAUAGUCCCGUAUGCGAAAAACAAACCUUAGCUAGCAGUAUCCUGAGUAGGGCGGGACACGAGGAAUCCUGUCUGAAUCCGGGUCGACCACGAUCCAACCCUAAAUACUAAUACCAGAUCGAUAGUGCACAAGUACCGUGAGGGAAAGGUGAAAAGAACUGAGGUGAUCAGAGUGAAAUAGAACCUGAAACCAUUUGCUUACAAUCAUUCAGAGCCUUAUGUAGCAAUACAGGGUGAUGGACUGCCUUUGCAUAAUGAGCCUGCGAGUUGUGGUGUCUGGCAAGGUUAAGCAAACGCGAAGCCGUAGCGAAAGCGAGUCUGAAUAGGGCGCUUAGUCAGAUGCUGCAGACCCGAAACGAAGUGAUCUAUCCAUGAGCAAGUUGAAGCUAGUGUAAGAACUAGUGGAGGACUGAACCCAUAGGCGUUGAAAAGCCCCGGGAUGACUUGUGGAUAGGGGUGAAAGGCCAAUCAAACUUCGUGAUAGCUGGUUCUCUCCGAAAUAUAUUUAGGUAUAGCGUUGUGUCGUAAUAUAAGGGGUAGAGCACUGAAUGGGCUAGGGCAUACACCAAUGUACCAAACCCUAUCAAACUCCGAAUACCUUAUAUGUAAUCACAGCAGUCAGGCGGCGAGUGAUAAAAUCCGUCGUCAAGAGGGAAACAACCCAGACUACCAGCUAAGGUCCCUAAAUCUUACUUAAGUGGAAAACGAUGUGAAGUUACUUAAACAACCAGGAGGUUGGCUUAGAAGCAGCCAUCCUUUAAAGAAAGCGUAAUAGCUCACUGGUCUAGUGAUUUUGCGCGGAAAAUAUAACGGGGCUAAAGUAAGUACCGAAGCUGUAGACUUAGUUUACUAAGUGGUAGGAGAGCGUUCUAUUUGCGUCGAAGGUAUACCGGUAAGGAGUGCUGGAGCGAAUAGAAGUGAGCAUGCAGGCAUGAGUAGCGAUAAUUAAUGUGAGAAUCAUUAACGCCGUAAACCCAAGGUUUCCUACGCGAUGCUCGUCAUCGUAGGGUUAGUCGGGUCCUAAGUCGAGUCCGAAAGGGGUAGACGAUGGCAAAUUGGUUAAUAUUCCAAUACCAACAUUAGUGUGCGAUGGAAGGACGCUUAGGGCUAAGGGGGCUAGCGGAUGGAAGUGCUAGUCUAAGGUCGUAGGAGGUUAUACAGGCAAAUCCGUAUAACAAUACUCCGAGAACUGAAAGGCUUUUGAAGUCUUCGGAUGGAUAGAAGAACCCCUGAUGCCGUCGAGCCAAGAAAAGUUUCUAAGUUUAGCUAAUGUUGCCCGUACCGUAAACCGACACAGGUGGGUGGGAUGAGUAUUCUAAGGCGCGUGGAAGAACUCUCUUUAAGGAACUCUGCAAAAUAGCACCGUAUCUUCGGUAUAAGGUGUGGUUAGCUUUGUAUUAGGAUUUACUCCGAAAGCAAGGAAACUUACAACAAAGAGUCCCUCCCGACUGUUUACCAAAAACACAGCACUCUGCUAACUCGUAAGAGGAUGUAUAGGGUGUGACGCCUGCCCGGUGCUCGAAGGUUAAUUGAUGGGGUUAGCAUUAGCGAAGCUCUUGAUCGAAGCCCGAGUAAACGGCGGCCGUAACUAUAACGGUCCUAAGGUAGCGAAAUUCCUUGUCGGUUAAAUACCGACCUGCAUGAAUGGCGUAACGAGAUGGGAGCUGUCUCAAAGAGGGAUCCAGUGAAAUUGUAGUGGAGGUGAAAAUUCCUCCUACCCGCGGCAAGACGGAAAGACCCCGUGGACCUUUACUACAGCUUGACACUGCUACUUGGAUAAGAAUGUGCAGGAUAGGUGGGAGGCUUUGAGUAUAUGACGCCAGUUGUAUAUGAGCCAUUGUUGAGAUACCACUCUUUCUUAUUUGGGUAGCUAACCAGCUUGAGUUAUCCUCAAGUGGGACAAUGUCUGGUGGGUAGUUUGACUGGGGCGGUCGCCUCCCAAAUAAUAACGGAGGCUUACAAAGGUUGGCUCAGAACGGUUGGAAAUCGUUCGUAGAGUAUAAAGGUAUAAGCCAGCUUAACUGCAAGACAUACAAGUCAAGCAGAGACGAAAGUCGGUCUUAGUGAUCCGGUGGUUCUGUGUGGAAGGGCCAUCGCUCAAAGGAUAAAAGGUACCCCGGGGAUAACAGGCUGAUCUCCCCCAAGAGCUCACAUCGACGGGGAGGUUUGGCACCUCGAUGUCGGCUCAUCGCAUCCUGGGGCUGGAGCAGGUCCCAAGGGUAUGGCUGUUCGCCAUUUAAAGCGGUACGCGAGCUGGGUUCAGAACGUCGUGAGACAGUUCGGUCCCUAUCUGCCGUGGGCGUAAGAAGAUUGAAGAGAUUUGACCCUAGUACGAGAGGACCGGGUUGAACAAACCACUGGUGUAGCUGUUGUUCUGCCAAGAGCAUCGCAGCGUAGCUAAGUUUGGAAAGGAUAAACGCUGAAAGCAUCUAAGCGUGAAGCCAACUCUAAGAUGAAUCUUCUCUAAGCUCUCUAGAAGACUACUAGUUUGAUAGGCUGGGUGUGUAAUGGAUGAAAGUCCUUUAGCUGACCAGUACUAAUAGAGCGUUUGGCUUAUCUUUAAUAAAGCAU
This 2919-nucleotide ribosomal RNA is filed under the name Campylobacter jejuni. Its description in RNAcentral is "23S ribosomal RNA". It matches the Rfam family "Bacterial large subunit ribosomal RNA". The record is from RNAcentral. Lineage: Bacteria; Pseudomonadati; Campylobacterota; Epsilonproteobacteria; Campylobacterales; Campylobacteraceae.